This 781-nucleotide long non-coding RNA is filed under the name Vombatus ursinus (common wombat). RNAcentral's name for it is "lncRNA (ENSVURG00010010342.1)". Lineage: Eukaryota; Metazoa; Chordata; Mammalia; Diprotodontia; Vombatidae. The record is from RNAcentral.
AGAUGCCCUAUCCCAGUUCACUGAACAGAAAGUGCCACUUGUCAUUGGUGAAAUUGAAAUUCAAAACUUGGGUUGUCAUCAGGGUUCCUACAUUCUUGCUGAUGUCUCAUAGCUGAUUAGAGCCUCUGGAGCCUGGACUGGACAGAUAGAAGGUUAGACUGUAGCUGGGGACUGACACCACCAGUCAUUCUCAGUGGCUGUUUGGAGCACACAUCAUUGGCUUUGGGAUUUCUCACAUUGGAUAUUAAAGAUCAAAAUCGCCAGAUGAAGAUGUAUAAAGAGAUAGUGCUUUUGCUACUAUUUUUAGAAUCAAAUCUCGGCGAUGCUACAAAAGAGGAACAGGAACAGACAUCGAUUGGAAAAACCACUGAGAAGCAUUUGACUACCCAAAGCCAUUCUGAGAUCUUAGCAAAUACAGUUGGACAAAAAGGAUCAGACGAUGGGAUAGUUCAUACUCUCUCCGGACCAGUGGUCGCCGUGAUUGUUUUGGCUACAAUAGCUGGUGUUGUUGGGGUCGUCCUCUUUGGAACAUUCCUGGUUCGAUGGCUGACAAGGAAAAAAUGAUACAUCCUUGACUUGAAACGACUUGAAAAGAUCCUGAAAAGAAGACUGUGUGAACGAUUCUGUGGGAAAAUGGGAAGCAUUGCUUUGUCCUGACAAUAGAAGGCAUCUCCCUGAAUUGGAGACAGUAUCAGGAGGCACAUUUUAUCCAGAGGUUCCUGUUCUAGAGACUCGGUGAUGGAUAAAUAAACAGCCCUGCUGAGUGAACUUUUUUGAUAUU